AUCCUGGCUCAGGAUGAACGCUGGCGGCGUGCUUAACACAUGCAAGUCGAACGAAGCACUCUAUUUGAUUUCUUCGGAAUGAUUAUUUGUGACUGAGUGGCGGACGGGUGAGUAACGCGUGGGUAACCUGCCUCAUACAGGGGGAUAACAGUUGGAAACGACUGCUAAUACCGCAUAAGCGCACAGGACCGCAUGGUCUGGUGUGAAAAACUCCGGUGGUAUGAGAUGGACCCGCGUCUGAUUAGCUAGUUGGUGGGGUAAUGGCCUACCAAGGCAACGAUGCGUAGCCGACCUGAGAGGGUGACCGGCCACAUUGGGACUGAGACACGGCCCAAACUCCUACGGGAGGCAGCAGUGGGGAAUAUUGCACAAUGGGCGAAAGCCUGAUGCAGCAACGCCGCGUGAGUGAAGAAGUAUUUCGGUAUGUAAAGCUCUAUCAGCAGGGAAGAAAAUGACGGUACCUGACUAAGAAGCCCCGGCUAACUACGUG
RNAcentral lists this ribosomal RNA (490 nucleotides) under uncultured bacterium. RNAcentral describes it as "bacterial SSU rRNA". It matches the Rfam family "Bacterial small subunit ribosomal RNA", at positions 16 to 507 of the family's 1533-position model. The record is from RNAcentral.